CCCCUUCCCCUCCCUCCCAUCGGCGAAAAUUCUCCCCCCCUCCCCCUCACCCUCCCAAAGAGGGCUCACAUAAAGGACAUAAUGCCAAUGGAUCAAGUCAUACUUCACAUGGAAGGUCAAGCCAGAAACUGAAUUUGGGAAAGAAACUGGGAUUGCUAUUUGUGGGCAUUGCUGCGCUUUUGCAGGUGUUUGUGGUAGCAUUCUUGGUAAUCAAGAGGAGACAAUUGUUAAACGCUGAGAGCAUAUUAUAAAGACGUGUGAAAAAAAAAAAAAAGUUCAGAUUUUUUUUUUCUUUCUUUCUUUCUGUUUAGUCUCUUUCUUUGGUGGGAGUGUUUUACACUUAACUGGAGUUGUACUGAUUGAAAUUCUUUAACGAGCGGCUUGGUAAUGAGUAAGGAUAUGAAUUGAUUCAUUACGCCUUGAUCCUUCGGAGUUUUGGCUUCCACAUCUGUUGUUGUAGCUCAUGUAAAUUGGUGAUAAACAAAGUUGUAGAUGAGAGAUCUGAUCUGACUUGGGGGUUGUUUUGGAGAGGAACAGGAAGACGAUUGCCUUUUCGUUUGCUUGGUGAGACAUGAAGUCCUAGGUAUUUAAUGUUGUUGGAGAAGUGUUAUCACCAUUCACCAAUCUAUAUGUAAUACCCUACUAUAUAAUAUAUCGGAAUAUAUUUGCUUAGCUGAUUACAUUACAUAUUUACAUCUACAAGUGAACAUGUGUGAAUGAAAAACUGAUCCAAAACCCA
Molecule: long non-coding RNA, 739 nt
Organism: Ipomoea triloba (trilobed morning glory)
Lineage: Eukaryota; Viridiplantae; Streptophyta; Magnoliopsida; Solanales; Convolvulaceae
Exons: 2
Source: RefSeq, a predicted model, not a curated record